RNAcentral lists this ribosomal RNA (274 nucleotides) under uncultured bacterium. Its description in RNAcentral is "partial 16S ribosomal RNA". It matches the Rfam family "Bacterial small subunit ribosomal RNA", at positions 523 to 796 of the family's 1533-position model. The record is from RNAcentral.
AAACGUAGGACGCAAGCGUUAUCCGGAUUCACUGGGCGUAAAGCGUGUGCAGGCGGUCGAGUAAGUCGGACGUGAAAGCCCCAGGCUCAACCUGGGAACUGCGCUUGAUACUGGUAGACUAGAGGCCGGGAGAGGGUAGUGGAAUUCCCAGUGUAGAGGUGAAAUUCGUAGAUAUUGGGAAGAACACCAGUGGCGAAGGCGGCUACCUGGACCGGACCUGACGCUGAGGUGCGAAAGCGUGGGGAGCAAACAGGAUUAGAUACCCCGGUAGUCC